Molecule: microRNA precursor, 93 nt
Filed under: Tetraodon nigroviridis (spotted green pufferfish)
Lineage: Eukaryota; Metazoa; Chordata; Actinopteri; Tetraodontiformes; Tetraodontidae
Description: miRNA (ENSTNIG00000000885.1)
Source: RNAcentral
GGAGCGUGUGUGUGUGUGUGUGUGUGUGUGUGUGUGUGUGUGUGUGUGUGAGCUCACCGCUCCAGCUCGGUGCACCACAGAAUGUCCUCCUUC